This 50-nucleotide small nucleolar RNA is filed under the name Pyrobaculum neutrophilum V24Sta. Its description in RNAcentral is "PNEsR109". The record is from RNAcentral. Lineage: Archaea; Thermoproteati; Thermoproteota; Thermoprotei; Thermoproteales; Thermoproteaceae.
GUGAGGUCUGCUUGAGACUCCGACCGGGUGAAGAGACGGCGGAUUGCCGA